This 314-nucleotide long non-coding RNA is filed under the name Homo sapiens (human). Its description in RNAcentral is "HSALNT0149869". Lineage: Eukaryota; Metazoa; Chordata; Mammalia; Primates; Hominidae. The record is from RNAcentral.
UCCACUGCUGGUGAGGAAGGAAGACGGAGGCCAAUGAUUCUAACUCCAUAAAACAGCAAAAACUCUGAAUAAGCACAAGGUAUGUUCCCUACGACUAUUGAGUAGAUGUAAGACUAGAACCUAAAUUACAUUGCUGUUAUCUUUUCCCAAAUUCAGAACAGAGAACUUUAGAAUUUUAAAUUUUCAUGUCCUUUUGCAACUUCUUAAGAGCCACCUUAAAAAAAAUCUCUUUUAUGUGCUCAGGCAAAGGAGGGCAGGUAGUGAGUGGUGAAAGUGGAUGAGCCACAGGCCUCAGGGAAAGGGGGCCUGCUGGC